This 253-nucleotide ribosomal RNA is filed under the name uncultured bacterium. RNAcentral describes it as "partial 16S ribosomal RNA". It matches the Rfam family "Bacterial small subunit ribosomal RNA", at positions 524 to 776 of the family's 1533-position model. The record is from RNAcentral.
UACGUAGGGAGCAAGCGUUGUCCGGAAUCAUUGGGCGUAAAGCGCGCGUAGGUGGCCACAUAAGUCCGUUGUGAAAGUCAAAGGCUCAACCUUUGAAAGCCGAUGGAUACUGUGUGGCUAGAGUACGGAAGAGGCGAGUGGAAUUCCUGGUGUAGCGGUGGAAUGCGCAGAUAUCAGGAGGAACACCAAUAGCGAAGGCAGUUCUCUGGGCCGUACCUGACGCUGAGGAGCGAAAGCCAGGGGAGCAAACGGG